GUUAUGUUCACGACAUCAGUCAGUCAAACAAACAAACAACUCCUCAAUGAAGCAGCAUCUUCACAGGCAGAGAGACUCACAGUGAAACACUGACCACUGUGAGCACACCAGGCAGAAGAUUAAACUCUCGGGAAGCUGAGGGAGUCUAGUGUCUGAAGGAACAAACACUGACUGACACCACGUCAGUCCUCAGGUGGUCGUUUACAUGUCACUUCGUUUUAGAGAGAAUUUAACCUGUUAUCACAUGAGUGACUCUCUGAGGAGGACUGUCAGUCUGAACUGAAGCUGCUCUGUGGAAACAGCCAGUUUCCUUUAAUGUACAUCUGAAUUUAUAUGUUAAUAUUCACAAGAUUUGACUAUUAAGUGGGCUUUUACUUUGAAAUUCCUCAUUAAAUCCUCCAGAUAUUGUGUUUGUUUUCAUGUUGGACUAAUUAUCAUUCACACAGAUGAGCUGUCACGGCCUCCAUAGUCUUCAGUGUGAUCAGAGGUAGGAUGGUAAUAUGAAUGAAGUAAAUAAUCAAUUAAUUAAUUAACUCAUCGUUUAAUUAAUUCAUCAAUCAAUUAACAGACUGACUAAUUGAAUGAAUUCAUGUGAACUUGCAAACUGCGUUCACAGGUCGGUGCUUUUAUUUUGAAUUCCGUUCUUGGACGGCAUUACCGUAAUAUCUACUGUAAACAGGCACCACAGAAUACCUGCGGGCUGGUUGACCGGGUUUACAGAGAGGAGGCGGGCUGGACCGCAGCGAACCUCCAGCUCGGCUCGACUCGGCUCGACUCGGCUCUGAUACCAGGUCCAGAGGUGGGUCAGAACUACAGCAGAACCUUCCCACGGGGGACGAUGUGGAGAAUCUGCGCAGGAUUCCUGAACCGAAGGGAGGUCACAUUCGGUUACACACGAGGCUGAAAACACUCUGCUGCUGAGGAAACACAGGGAAGACACAGCGGCUCGGUUCUGCUAAGUUCUGCUUGGUUCUGCUUCGUCUGCUUCAGACAGACAGGUAAGAAGAGCCACAUUUAUGAACAGAACUGAGUGCAGCUGGAUUAUAAACUUAUUAGAAACGGUGUGAUACUUGAGUGGGAAAGAGGCGCGUAUGCUGUCCCGGCCCUGAGUAAUCUGGUGGCCGAGGCCGGCGCCCUGUUGCAUCGCAGUCAAUUUCACAACCAAUUUUCAUACACUCACACAGAAACUGCAUGUAUAUAUUCAAGAUUGAUAAGUGAUAAAAAUACAAUAUAAAUAUCUCUCAGCCUCAGAGUGCCGUGUCUCUCUUAUCGAUUGUCAGCCGCUUUGCAAAACGACCUCCAACUCCUUCAUGUUGUCAUGUAGGUAUUGUGCUCCUGGUGAAAUAUGUUAAAGUGCAUCUGAAGAGAGAAGAGAAGUUUAUGUGACCACUGCAUGUUGAAUUUUAAUAAAAACAAACAGAUGUUUGGUGUGUGCCAUACAUAAGACUAAUAUAGACUAAUAAUGAAAAUGUGAUGAGAUUCAUUCAACUUUAUUGUCAUUGAAAAGCAAUUCAGUCUAACCAGAGUACAAGU
RNAcentral lists this long non-coding RNA (1533 nucleotides) under Sparus aurata (gilthead seabream). Its description in RNAcentral is "lncRNA (ENSSAUG00010012184.1)". Lineage: Eukaryota; Metazoa; Chordata; Actinopteri; Spariformes; Sparidae. The record is from RNAcentral.